Triticum aestivum (bread wheat) is the source of this 3217-nucleotide long non-coding RNA. RefSeq lists it as uncharacterized. The transcript has 3 exons. The record is from RefSeq and is a predicted model, not a curated record. NCBI's taxonomy places the organism in Eukaryota, Viridiplantae, Streptophyta, Magnoliopsida, Poales, Poaceae.
CGCAAUGCGACCUCUUUGACCGAAUAUGGCGAAUCCUAUCUGUUUGUGCGCGCAACGCGAAUCCUCCCCGUCGAUGAAUCAUGUGGAUCAGCGCGCCCAGGCCCACCGGGUCCCAACCAACGAUUCCCUAGUUCUUUUUUCCCACGGUUAUACGACCGGAUACAGUCACAUCGUAUCUGUCCAGGCGACCAGGCCCCUACACCAUUGAGCUGCGCGCCUACACCAUCACUCGGUUGCCCCAUCCACCCCAGCGAUUUAUAACUUGCCAAAUUUCGAUUCCCAGACUCCAGAUCUAGCCUCAUGGUUUGUUCUGCUGCUCCUGAAAUCGAUGGCGGCCCGCCUCUCCGACGUCCUCCUCCACGGCGAGCCGCCCAAGCACCGUAAUGCAUUUUCUUCCCCCAUCAGCGCUUCACCAAGCAGCAGCACAUGGAGUUGGAGGCAAGAAGAGGAGGAGCAAGAAGGGGAGGACGCGGGCGACUAGUUCCUCCCCUGAGCUCGAAGGCCGAGGGCCCAGAUCCGCGGUUGUUCUUCCCAAAUCUUGAUGCCAUUUGCUUUCCUGCGAUUCUUCAUAUGUUGCUGUUAGUUUUUGUUGGGUUGCUAAGAAGAAUCAGGAGGAGCCGUCCUCUGCUCCUUCUCAAAAUUUCCCUCCCAGAUCUGUAUUCUUGGGCAUCGAUUUUUUAUCUUUUGCUUGACCAUCAAUCGCGGAUCCGGCUUGCCUGCUCUCUUCCCGUGCUCUCAUCCGUGCUCCCACCUCAUCCAACGGCUGUCUUUUUUUCUUUUUUCUUUCUAAUCUAAUCAUCUCCCCCCUGAUUUUAAGGGGUGGGGCCGGGCCUUAUUUUGUUCCAAUCAAAUCAAGCCACGUAUGCGGGAGCACGGAUGGGCACACGGGAGGGGAGCAGGCAAGUCUCGUCCAUCAACCGCACGUACUUAUUACUUAAGAUUUUUUGUGCUGCUGUGUUGGAUUUGGGGGUGAGGCUUUUUUUUCUGGUGCGGUCAGCACUGAUGGUGUAUGAAUUACGAUGUGGUGUGUGUGCUGCCUUGCUAAUCUCCUCAAAUUCUGGAUCUCAUGUCUCACAUACAACAUUUUAGAAAAAUGCAUUUAAUUUUAUGACCAGCCUGACAUGUCCUCGUAUCAUGUAUAUAUCAUAUGUGAUGUAGUGUUUAGUGAUGACAAUAUCACAAUAAGUGUGAGACAGAACCAAAGGUAGGAAACCAUACCGAAUGUGCCAUAUAACCGUCGAUGCGCACUUUAUAUCCUCGGUUAUGGUCCUGUUAUGGUUGACCGUGAAGAACUUUAAAAAUAACAACCAUAUAUACUCGAAGGCGGGUCUCUUUCACCCGACCAUGAAGAACUUUAAUGUUAUAUCGAUUGGUAAGUUUUUUCACUAGGGAUUGGGAAAACAACCUCAUAAUUAUUGUGAUAUUUUCAUCACUGGACACUACGUCCCAUAUAACCUUCGAUGUGCACUUUAUAUCAUCGGUUCCGGUCUCCUUAUGGUCGACCACGAAGAACUUUAGAGAUAGCAGCCAUAUGUACUCGAAGUCGGGUCUCUUUCAUCCGACCAUGAAGAACUUUAAUGUUAUAUCGAUUGACAAGUUUUUUCACUAGGGAUUUGGGAAACAACCUUAUAAUUAUUGUGAUAUUUUCAUCACUGGACACUACGUCCCAUAUAACCUUCUAUGCACAUUUUAUAUCCUCGGUUCCAGUCCUUUUAUGGUCGAAUGCGAAGAACUUUAGAGAUAGCAACCAUAUGUACUCAAAGGGGGGCCUCUUUCAUCCGACCAUGAAGAACUUUAAUGUUAUAUCGAUUGGUAAGUUUUUUCACUAGGGAUCUUGGAAAACGACCCCAUAACUAAAUUAAAAAAUUUAUAUUUACAAAAUAUAUUAAAAAUAUAUUAAGACAUUUCUAUUUGUAGUGCAAAGUUGUGUUGAGGAGGUGAGCAUCUGCCAGCCGCAGCAUACUGGUGACGUGCUAGCUGUGCCCCGCGAUGGAUUAGUUAAUUUUUUAAACUGUAGUCUCAGAGAUUCUUGAGUCAUUAUGUAGUGUACACUUUUGUUUCCCUGUGUAAACGUUUUUUGGCAACUUCAAAGAACUUUUUGUAGUGCAACGGACGACUCCUUGCAAUCGAAUCUCUACGCUGUAAAGGCUCAUGAGGUCCUUUUUUACCAACAGUCCCGGUACGUUACUUGCUCACCACAAAGAACUUUUUUGCAUCGGAUAUUUAAUCCUUGUGAAUAAAUAAAUUAAUAUACACGUGUAAAAAUUAGUACAGUACUAUUACUUAAACUUACGACUAGUACUCACGUCAAGGGAUGCUAUUUAGCAUGUAAUCUUCGCGCUAGAUAAUACUAAUAGGAGAAGCAGACGGAAUGGUGCAUGCUGUACAGUAGGGUAGGAUCGAAUCUUAUAACUUGGCCCCACAGUACGACGCGUCAGGUGGAAUACUGCUCAUAUACACCAGCAUCAAUCUAUUCGGGAGUCUAUUACACCGGAGAUACCUUGCAGAUCUGACAGCAUAGUGGACCUAGUGAUGUGACAUGCAUGGCUGAUGUGCGGCCGAGAUACAAGUUGUGCGGGCAACGAGUUAGACAAAAUCCACGUCCCUCUUUGACAUGUUAUCAUCAUCAAGAAAUCUUGCGAAGAGCCAUUUCCAGGAAGCGGCCAUGGCCGCCGGACACCCUCUGCCUACCGACCUAGCAUUGCUCCACCAGCAACUCCUGCUGAGGCCUCGUGUUCUGGGCGAGCUGCGUGCCCUGACGAGCACCGUCGUGUCCAUUGAUCACAUAGCCUCCAUUCUGGACAAGGCGCUCAGAUCCAGCACUCCAAGACAAGUGCAGGUGGAUCCUCCGGCUCCUGAAAUGCACGCCAAGGCUCUCAGCGUGGUGUCGAGGAAGAGAUCAAAGUAUGAUGCCCGGAGGAGCUUCCUUCGCUCAAAGGCUUGAGCAACUGCUGGAGAACUAUGCGUCGCAGCAUUUCUGGGAACCAAGAUAUAGGGUGAACUUCAUCUGUGGCGUGGAGGCACUCGGCGGCGGCUGGACAGCAUACGGCAAGCGUUACACUGUCAAUUUCAUGGCUGCUUCUGAAUCACCGCUUCAAAUCAACACCCUCUUCUUCGCUGAAUUCGGGGAAUCGGAGCCUGGUCAUUGGUUUGGGAACCGUGGUCCGAAUGCUGCUGAGCCAAAGCCAGAUUUCUGCUGCCCUUUGCCCCCUCCAUA